Molecule: small nuclear RNA, 107 nt
Organism: Cynocephalus volans (Philippine flying lemur)
Lineage: Eukaryota; Metazoa; Chordata; Mammalia; Dermoptera; Cynocephalidae
Source: RefSeq, a predicted model, not a curated record
GUGCUCACGUCAAUAGCACAUAUACUAAAAUAUAAACAAUACAGAAAAGAAUAUUAUGGCCUCUGUAUAAGGAUGAUGCGCAAAUGCCUAAAGUGUUCCAUAUCUUA